Dermacentor albipictus is the source of this 556-nucleotide non-coding RNA. NCBI's taxonomy places the organism in Eukaryota, Metazoa, Arthropoda, Arachnida, Ixodida, Ixodidae. The record is from RefSeq and is a predicted model, not a curated record.
CGAGCGGGCAGAAAUGCGUCCGAGACAAAGUGCCUGACGUGUGCACGCACUGCCUCAAGGAAUAUUUUGUCGUCAUUGUGUUCUUUUAAGCAAUGACAAUAGUUAUAACCGUUGACGCACUGCGCGGUUACAGAGAGAGUGGCAAGUAAUGUCAUCAAGUCCGGCCACCAAGAAAUGGCUGCACAAAACAAGUGCCGCUUCUUAUUCAUCCAUCAAAAAAGGUUGCUUCAAGUCAUCCACCCAAGGAGACAAUUUACCGUCACGUCGAGCAAGUGGACUUCAUCGUCAGCGUUAUACAAGGAGUGUCACUCGGAAAGGUACAGUAACACUAUCUAUAGAACGCACUCACCGGAGAGCGUGAUUACAGUCGCAGUUGCAGUGUUCAAGCAGCAAUCCGUGUGUGUGAGUUUGUAGCCACCAGAGUGCAGCCUUACCAAUAAAACAGUACUCUGUACAGGUUAUGGAAUCGAAGUUUUUUAUGACCUCCUUGCUCGGCAUUCAUUCUAAAGCCAAUUUUUUGGUACUUGGAACGUUCAAAAGUACCUCCACCUAUAGA